RNAcentral lists this long non-coding RNA (6024 nucleotides) under Brassica napus (rape). RNAcentral describes it as "long non-coding RNA (BNAP_LNC002473)". Lineage: Eukaryota; Viridiplantae; Streptophyta; Magnoliopsida; Brassicales; Brassicaceae. The record is from RNAcentral.
AUGGCUCGACAUUGCUAUGAACCAAUACAAGUCUCUCUGGACUAAAUACGUCGACAACGAAAUGGAGUUUGUGCAGAUGUGCAAUUUUGGUCUUUAAAGAAAGAUAUCGAUGAAGAGGUAACCUCAAAUCGAUAUGUGUUCAGUCAUUCAGGGCAUUCUUUAGCUUAUAUACGUUUAUCUUUUACUAGGGAUUGGUCCGCCCUACGGGCGGGUAAGUUUACAAUAAAAUUCUUUAUAUUAAAAUAUAUUUUAAUUUUAUAAAACAUUUAAAAAUUAUUUUAAGUAUAAUUUGUUUUCUAAGAUCAUAUUGUAAAUUUCAUUUGUUAAACGUUAAACAACUGUUAUAAAUUUUCUUCUAAUAUCAUACCUUAUUUGUUAUUUGAGUUUCUAAGAAAAUGUAAAUUGGUAGUGCAUUAGGUUUGCAUUUGGAAUUGAUAUGUGUGAUACUGAUUUUAGUUUUUUUAAAAUGUUGUGUGUCAGGAAGUGUGAUUGCAUGAGGUCAUUUGGAUGAGGAAUUAAAUGUGAUGUGAGUGAGUUUGUAUGCUUCUGAAACUGAUUUAUAGUAUACAAUACCAGUAAAUUUGAUUUGUAUGAACAAUUUGAAUUGGAGAAGAAGUGUUCGGUUAAUAUAUUUCAAAACUUUAUGGGCUUUCAAGGAUUUUUGUGUUGUUGGUCGUUUAAGUUUGGAAUCCACACUCCAUUGAGUAACUGUUUUUUUUUUGCGCUUGGGAGCUCGUCAUCGUUUUGCUUGGAGUAUUUAUUUUUGCAAAACAGUUGAUAUUUAUACUUAUAUCAAGUGAUUCGUAAUAAAUUUAUGGUUAAACAUUUGGCCUCACAAUGUCUAUUUUAGUUAUUUCAAUCUCAUAGGAAUGAGUUUAUUUGUUUUAUACAACCAAUUCUCAUAGUUUAAUGUGAGUGACAUUCAUCCUACAUAAAAGUUGAAUAGGAGUAGUGUGUACUUUGUUUAAUCAUUUAUAAUCAGUUGGUAUAUUUUCUCUUUUUCAUAGUGGGAUGAUUGGUUUAAAGAACUUUAAUGGCAAAAAAGGAACCUUAAUGGCAAUCUGAAUUACGUUGGUUGAAUGAUGAUCUAAGGCAUAGCAAAGUCGGAUUUAGAAAGGUGGUAAAAUCAAGAUUUAGCCAUAGGUCAAUGAAAAUGUUAAACCGAUGGAGGCAUUAGUAGGAAAGCAAUGGUUUGUCAGCUCGAUCAGUUGGUCUAAAUGUUAAAUUAGUAACGCCAAUUAAAACCAAAGAUUCCAAUAGGAAAACUUGAAAAAACUUGUGAAAUGGAAGGUUUUGAACACGAAUGGGUUCAUUUAGUAUAUUGAUAUGUUUGUGAUUUUAAUGUUUUUAUUUGUGUGUUCCUCGGUUAAUUUAUUCUCAAAUGUUUUUAUAUGCUUAUUUGAUGAUAAGUGAUUUUUUUUAUAACAUGAUUAAGAUUAGCAAUUUUGUGAUAAGUUAACUAUCACAUUAUGUGUCAUGUUUUACAAUUAUAUUUAUUCAUAUUUUGGUUUCCUAAUAUUAUAAUUAUUAUUUUUAUAGGUAUUUUAACGGCUAAUGACUAAUUUUUUAGUUGUUGAUUUAUAUUUGUAAUAGUAAUUAAAAAUUCUAAAUUAUUGUUCUGCUUUAUUUUACUUAACUUUGCUUUCAAUUAAUAUUUAUUUUAUUAAUUGUGUUUUUACAGUCUUAAUAUUGUUUUUUUUUGGAAUUACCAUUUUCAUUAUAAAUUAAAAGGUUUUGGUUCAGUAUAUUUAUGUAUUAGUAUAGCUUUUUCGUUUCUAGAUUGAAGAGAAAAAACAAUGAAAAUAUUUGAAGUUUAAUAGAAUUUCAAAUUAAAUGUUAUAUAAAUUAUAUAAAUAUUUGAUACACGUCAUUUUAUAUUUAUUAUUUUAGUUUUUAUUUAGAUUUGUAACAAUUUAUGUAACUGGAAUUUUUAUCACAAAUAUACAAUUUAAUUGUCCCAGCAUAUCUUUACAUUUUAAUCAAUAUGUUUAAUUAAUGUUAUUUCAUAUUCGUUUGAUUGUAAUUUCGAUAUUGGUCAUCAUGUUUGUUACGGUUAGUAUAGCACAUCAAAAUUGUGAGAAUCUGAGAACCUGUUUUUGUAAGCUUCCACUCUUUGGCUCAACAGCCCCAUAGUAUGGAAUCGAAACCUGUUUGGGCACUUAUACAACCAAUUUGAGCAUGGAAGAGUGUGAUUCUUGUCGUGUCUAAAACUUGUGAGCAGAAGUUGGGUUACGGAACUAAAGACGAUAAGUGAUAAUCGUAGGAAUUUUCUUUAUUGUUAGGAUAAUUUCAAGACAGAGGAGAUGAUUUCAGGGUGCCCAAAUACAAAGUAAAGAUAAUCUUAUUCAAGAGUUGUGUUAUAAAGUCUUGUGUGCCUUCUUUGAUGGGACCCUCUGGCGCAGGAAACAGAGCUUCUCCAGCAGUGUUUCCGCUCAAUACAUUAGGUACUCCAGGUGAUGUGUCCGUAUCACUUCGUUCGUCCGCCGGUCGGUUAUGCUUCUGGAGGUGUUCUCGGACCCAUGGAGUCAGAGCCAUUGCAGAAGAUACACGUAGAUACUCUAUUUUUAUGCACCUCCACAAUUAUCAGAACUGGAUGAUCAGUUGACGUCACUCCCACGCAAUCUGCAGUUGAGAACGUGUAAGAUUCUUGAGAAAGUGUGUAGGAGGGAAGUGAUACAAACAUCCUGUUGUUCAAGAUUCUUACUCUUGGAAGAAGCUCUAGCCAGAGCCGCUUUCAUUGUUAAAGUAGAAAUGAGUGUCAGAUGUUGUAUUAAGGAAUAGUCGACCUGCAAGCAGAACUAAGUAAGCUCCAUAAGAUGUUCUGAAUCAGAACUUCUGAUGCACAAAGUGAAUGCACAGACUCUGUGAUCUUGACGAUCUGGGUAAGUUAGGUGUAGAUCGCAACUGUUGAGUCUGAAAAUCUGAAGUGAUUGUUGAUUCUGUAAGACUAUGUAGCAAAUUUUGAAUAAGCUAGUUGUGGAGUUCAUUCACAGAGUGCUCUCGCUCCUUAGUUGUGGCAGCUUUAGUGUUUGCUUCCUCGAUAUUCGUAGAAGUUUAAAAAAAAAAUGAAAGAAUACAAAAAUAAAUAGUUGAUAAGCUGUAUAGCAGUGAUUUUCAAAAUAGUGUGGGCAUAAAAAUGAAAAUUUGGAUAUAUUAGUCGACACAUACUCUAGUGAAAGACAUUACCUUGUUACAAUAUGCAAUCUCCAACUGUUUAAUGUUUCUGGCCUCUAAGCACACACCAGUUAUCUCCAUUCCAGUACACGGGGAAACAAUGCCUCCUCACCAAGUUCAACAUGUCAGAAACAUAGAUUGGAUAUAAGCACUCUAAAGGUUAAACAUGUUAACAUUUUAAAACACUGCAGAGAACAAUGGUACCUCAUAUAGACGACUCUAAACAGGUGCACCAGCUAUCCCCUCUUGUAGAAGACGCAAAAUCUUCUGAAAGAGUUUUAAUUGAUUGCUUAUUCGAGUUACUUUUAAGGAAUGGAAGUAAACCUGGUGAUCGGCGGUGGGACUGUCUAGUGGAGAUGAUGCGAGCGCCGAUGUUGUCCUGUCGAAUCUGCUGCGCUGAACCAGUUCCUGUUGUUUUAAAUCACAUUAAUCAGACCAAAUAUUAUGCGAGUAUAUUCAUUCUUCAAUUAAUUAUUGAGUGGCAAAAUUAAAAAUGAAAUAAUCAAUUGUUACAAAAUGGACAGAAACUUUAUGUUUGUUUAAUUUUUUUAAAAAUUUUGUGCAGUUAAGUGUUAGUUGAUAAUAAUUUUACGCAAACAAUACUUUUAAGUAUUUAAGCUGCUGGUUUCAAAUACUUUGGUAAUAAAAUGUUAAUGUCCUAAAGUAUAAGGGUGAGACUGGGGUUUUAAUAAUAUUGAGAGUUUAUAUCUACACUAUAAAUUAGUAAUUGUUUAUUAAACCAAUGAUUAAUGACAUUAACGUGUCUUCUUCACUAAAAUGUCUUGAGAUCUCUAUCCAUCCCAUCACUCUCCAGAGGCUAAUUCACACUCUAUCGGGCAAGCAAGAACCUCAUCCCCAUCUGAACUUUUUUUUUUUUAAACUGACUUAUAAAAGGUAAAGCUAAAUGGCGGUGGCCUUCCAUGGAGGCCGGAACGGCGUCGGAUCGGGACUCCGCAGUUUCUUCUCGUACCGGAUCUUCAUCUCCGCCUUGUUCUCUUUCCUCUUCCUCGCCACCUUCUCCGUUGUCCUCAACUCCUCUCGUCACCAACCUCAUCUCGAUCACGUAAGCUUCCGAUUCGUUUCACAAUCCGAAUCAAAAUUUAGAAAUGAAUUUAGAAUCUGAGCUUCGAUUUUUGGUGUUUAGACAUUGCCGAGGACGUUUCAAUCGGAUCCGUUGAAAGCUAGGUUAGAUCUGAUCCACAAGCAAGCCACCGAUCACCUCACGCUUGUGAACGCUUACGCUGCUUACGCUAGGAAGCUCAAGCUCGACGCGUCGAAGCAGCUGAAGCUCUUCGAAGAUCUGGCGGUUAACUUCUCCGAUCUGCAGGCCAAACCUGGACUGAAGCUCGAAAACGGGAACGCGAUCGAGGAGGAUGCGUUUCGGCAGAUCGAGAAAGAGGUUAAAGAUAAGGUGAAGACCGCGAGGAUGAUGAUCGUUGAGUCCAAAGAGAGUUACGAUACACAGCUCAAGAUCCAGAAGCUCAAGGAUACGAUCUUCGCUGUUCAAGAACAGUUGACGAAAGCUAAGAAAAACGGCGCCGUUGCGAGCUUGAUCUCGGCUAAGUCGGUUCCCAAGAGUCUUAACUGUUUGGCUAUGAGGCUUGUUGGUGAGAGGAUCUCUAACCCUGAGAAGUAUAAGGAUGCUCCGUUUGAUUCGGCUGUGUUGGAGGAUCCGAGUCUUUAUCACUACGCGGUUUUCUCUGAUAAUGUGAUUGCUGUUUCCGUUGUGGUGAGGUCGGUUGUGGUGAACGCUGAGGAGCCGUGGAAGCAUGUGUUUCAUGUGGUGACUGAUAGGAUGAAUCUCGCCGCUAUGAAGGUUUGGUUUAAGAUGCGUCCUUUGGACCGUGGUGCUCGUGUUGAGAUUAAGUCGGUUGAGGAGUUUAAGUUCUUGAACUCUUCGUAUGCGCCGGUCUUGAGGCAGUUAGAGUCUGCUAAGUUGCAGAAGUUUUACUUUGAGAACCAGGCGGAGAACUCGACUAGAGAUGAACAUAACAUCAAGUUCAAGAACCCCAAGUAUCUCUCGGUGUUGAACCAUCUGAGAUUCUACUUACCGGAGAUGUAUCCGAAGCUGAAUAAGAUCUUGUUCUUGGACGAUGAUGUUGUGGUGCAGAAGGACGUGACUGGGUUGUGGAAGAUUAAUUUAGAUGGGAAGGUGAAUGGAGCUGUUGAGACGUGCUUUGGCUCUUUUCAUCGAUAUGGUCAAUACCUAAACUUCACUCAUCCUCUGAUCAAAGAGAGCUUUAACCCCAAUGCUUGUGCUUGGGCCUUUGGGAUGAAUAUAUUUGAUCUCAAUGCUUGGAGGCGCGAGAAAUGCACAGAUCAAUACCAUUACUGGCAGAACUUGGUAAGCCCCAUAUCUUUCUUAGUAACUUAUGCAUUUCAAAAAAUCUCUUUUAUCUUGUGUUGAUUGUGUGCUAAUCUCUGAGCAGAAUGAAGACAGAAGUCUCUGGAAAUUAGGCACUCUGCCUCCGGGACUGAUGACAUUCUAUUCAAAGACGAAAUCACUGGACAAGUCCUGGCAUGUGCUUGGGUUAGGCUACAACCCGGGAGUGAGCAUGGACGAGAUAAAAAAAGCAGCAGUGAUACAUUACAAUGGGAACAUGAAACCAUGGCUAGACAUUGCUAUGAACCAAUACAAGUCUCUCUGGACUAAAUACGUCGACAACGAAAUGGAGUUUGUGCAGAUGUGCAAUUUUGGUCUUUAAAGAAAGAUAUCGAUGAAGAGGUAACCUCAAAUCGAUAUAUGUUCAGUCAUUCAGGGCAUUCUUUAGCUUAUAUACGUUUAUCUUUUAUAUAUUAUAUAGGGUUACAAAAGUGUUUUGCUUUGUUCUUUCUGUCAUAGUUUUGUUC